Molecule: long non-coding RNA, 237 nt
Filed under: Elaeis guineensis (African oil palm)
Lineage: Eukaryota; Viridiplantae; Streptophyta; Magnoliopsida; Arecales; Arecaceae
Description: long non-coding RNA (EGUI_LNC061416)
Source: RNAcentral
CAGUAGGAGUUCGGCUCCCGUAAGAGCUCAGACGAAGUCUACCUGUAGUAGGAGUUCGGGGAAGGAGUCCGGCUCCUGUAAAAGCUCAGAUGAAAUUUGAAAGGCGGUCGACCACCAUAGAAACUUGGAUGGAGUCCGCCCGUCGUGGAGAUCUGCUAUUGGGAAAGUUUCGCCACUGACAAACUGACGAAGUUCUGGAAGAAAUUCGGAUUGGAGUCGAUCGAAUCCUGGUGGAAA